Molecule: ribosomal RNA, 492 nt
Filed under: uncultured bacterium
Lineage: Bacteria
Description: partial 16S ribosomal RNA
Rfam family: Bacterial small subunit ribosomal RNA
Source: RNAcentral
AUUGAACGCUGGCGGCAUGCUUUACACAUGCAAGUCGAACGGUAACAGGCCUUCGGGUGCUGACGAGUGGCGAACGGGUGAGUAAUGCAUCGGAACGUACCCAGAGGUGGGGGAUAACGCAGCGAAAGCUGUGCUAAUACCGCAUGUGAUCUGAGGAUGAAAGCGGGGGACCGAGCAGCAAUGUUUGGCCUCGCGCCUUUGGAGCGGCCGAUGUCGGGUUAGCUAGUUGGUGGGGUAAAGGCCUACCAAGGCGACGAUCCGUAGCUGGUCUGAGAGGACGACCAGCCACACUGGGACUGAGACACGGCCCAGACUCCUACGGGAGGCAGCAGUGGGGAAUUUUGGACAAUGGGCGCAAGCCUGAUCCAGCAAUGCCGCGUGCGGGAAGAAGGCCUUCGGGUUGUAAACCGCUUUUGGCAGGAACGAAACGGUGUCCGCUAAUACCGGGCGCUAAUGACGGUACCUGCAGAAUAAGCACCGGCUAACUACGUG